AAAUAUUUAAUAUUUUACAAAUGCGAAUUAUAUACAAUUACAAUUUCAAAUAUCACUCUUUCCUGGAGACACCUGACCUGCAUUAUUAAUAUACUUCUUAAAUUCAUACAAAGAAAUCUCUCCAUCCGUGAUACUAUCAUUGCUGCAGCUGACUUCCAGCACAUCAGGGUAUUCACUGAAAAACAUAUCCCUACAUUGUUUAACUUCUUCACUUAAAUUAUCCUGAUUAUGAAUCUCAGCAAAUGACCCAGCCAGUAACACAACCUUCCCUGUUUCAGUAACAAUCAUUUUGCCCUCAUUAAUCAACACUGGAAUAUUAUGAUCCCCACAAAUCCCAUUUUCUAAAUCAUAUCCCAAACAAUUUCAAGUUUGAUAUCCCUUCAUAUAACCUCCAAUAAAUCACCUACUUCCUCACCACGGCCUUUGCCCAUUUGUUGUUAAUAAUGUAACUCGGAGACUGAUGCACCAUCACACAAAAACUCACAUUUCUCCCAAUUUGCUUCCUGUCCCAUUAUUAAUCCAAAUCCAAACUCAUAAAGACAGGAAGGCUGACUGACGUUCAAAUAAACUAAUCACCCUCUGAGUUCCCACUUGAGCGACGGGCACUACAGCCAAUGACAGCAGGGGUUAGUAUUAAAUUUGAGCUGCGAUAGGCUGGAGGAAAUCGGCCCAUGAUCAGCCCCUCCUCUUCCGCUCCAUCGCCAUGGCGGAGAUCAGCGAGUCGCUUCUGUCGGUGUCGCCGGCCUCGGCGCCCACAAGGACGGGUGUGAUUCCCCUUCGCGCCCCGGUGGGUCUGUUUCGGUGACGUCUGUGGUGGCUGACGAAACAUGCUUUGACAGGGAGCGAACGAGGACCAAUGACUACAACUCCCGGAAGGCCCCACUGAUGACGUUGUGUUGUUGUUUCGGGCUUUCCCACCACAGAUGUAAGGCUCAAUGGUCUAUAAUUAUCUGGACUAUCCCUACUACCCUUUUUGAACAAGGGGACAACAUUCGCCUCCCUCCAAUACUCCGGUACAAUUCCCGUGGACAAUGGGGACAUAAUGAUCUUCGCCAGAGGCUCAGCAAUCUAUUUCCUUGCCUCGGAUGCAGAACUGGGAAGCGCAGAUGGAGUUCAACACAGAUGAAGAGGUUCAUUUCUGCAGGUCAAAUUUGAACACAGAAUAUAAUAUUAAUGGGACAUUACUCCUGACAUUGGUCCCAAGACCCAGCCUGUUUACAGAACCGGAGCGGAACUGGAGCAGAUUCUUAGACACUUGUUUUCAUCGCAAAUCCAGAAGACAGUUUAACGUUUUUUCGUGAAUUUAUUCUGAGUGAAGGUGUGGAGAUGGGAGUUGGUCUCCGCGUUGUAAAAUGAAUCUGUCCCGGACUCGUAACUGAGAUAAAUUCCCACCCUCCCGGGGUUGGGACAGGCAGCGAGUCGGGGUUCAGGGGAGGUGGCAACACUGAACAAAUCAUAAUUCAAGUCCGAUAACCCCUGUCCGAUGACCCAGAUCAGCCAGAUAGUGGCGUCUGUGUCCACAGGACACUCGAAGCUGCUGCGUCGGUUGAGAGUGUUGUUAAGAAGCCGUAUGGCGUACUGGGCUUCAUCAACUGUGGGAUUGAUUUCAAGAGCUGUGAGGUGAUGUUACAGAGGAACAACGCCUUAGUUAGACCACACCUGGAGUACUGUGUCCAAUUCUGGUUACCUCAC
This is a long non-coding RNA of Hypanus sabinus (Atlantic stingray), 1692 nucleotides long. RefSeq lists it as uncharacterized. The record is from RefSeq and is a predicted model, not a curated record. The transcript is spliced from 3 exons. Lineage: Eukaryota; Metazoa; Chordata; Chondrichthyes; Myliobatiformes; Dasyatidae.